RNAcentral lists this transfer RNA (78 nucleotides) under Klebsiella pneumoniae. Its description in RNAcentral is "tRNA-Arg". The stretch from base 5 to 71 matches the Rfam family "tRNA". From Rfam's summary of the family: Transfer RNA (tRNA) molecules are approximately 80 nucleotides in length. Their secondary structure includes four short double-helical elements and three loops (D, anti-codon, and T loops). The record is from RNAcentral. Lineage: Bacteria; Pseudomonadati; Pseudomonadota; Gammaproteobacteria; Enterobacterales; Enterobacteriaceae.
GCAUUCCGUAGCUCAGCUGGAUAGAGUACUCGGCUACGAACCGAGCGGUCGGAGGUUCGAAUCCUCCCGGAUGCACCA